CUGAAAGAUGCCACUGGACAACAAAGCUCUGUAUUUAGCCACAGCGAAGGCUGUUGCAAACUUGUUCCACAGCUCUGCCAUGGAGAGACCAUCUCUAAGGUGGACAGGGGAUGUUCACCUUCUAUGCUCAUUCAGUCUUUGGCCAUG
This 147-nucleotide small RNA is filed under the name Chrysemys picta bellii (western painted turtle). Its description in RNAcentral is "TUC338 (ENSCPBG00000026718.1)". The record is from RNAcentral. Lineage: Eukaryota; Metazoa; Chordata; Testudines; Emydidae.